GACAGAGGUGCCAAGCGUUAGGCGGAAUCACUGGGCUUAAAGCGUGUGUAGGCGGGUUUGUAAGUACCUUGUGAAAUCCCAUGGCUCAACCAUGGAACUGCUCGGUAUACUGCGAAUCUUGAGCCACUUAGGGGCUACCGGAACAAAUGGUGGAGCGGUGAAAUGCGUAGAUAUCAUUUGGAACGCCAAUGGUGAAAACAGGUAGCUGGGAGUGUGCUGACGCUGAGACACGAAAGCCAGGGGAGCGAACGGG
Molecule: ribosomal RNA, 253 nt
Filed under: uncultured bacterium
Lineage: Bacteria
Description: partial 16S ribosomal RNA
Rfam family: Bacterial small subunit ribosomal RNA
Source: RNAcentral